CCUACGGGAGGCAGCAGUGAGGAAUAUUUGUCAAUGGGCGAGAGCCUGAACCAGCCAAGUCGCGUGAAGGAUUGCGGCCCUACGGGUUGUAAACUUCUUUUGUCAGGGAGCAAUUGAGUCCACGUGUGGUCUUAGCGAGAGUACCUGAAGAAAAUGCAUCGGCUAACUCCGUACCAGCAGCCGCGGUAAUACGGAGGAUGCGAGCGUUAUCCGGAUUUAUUGGGGUUAAAGGCGGCGUUGGCGGAAUAUCAAGUCGGCGGUAAACAUUCGGGUCUCAACCCCGUCGUGCCGUUGAAACUGAUGUUCUAGAGUGGGCGAGAAGUAUGCGGAAUGCGCGGUGUAGCAGUGAAAUGCAUAGAUA
Molecule: ribosomal RNA, 361 nt
Filed under: uncultured bacterium
Lineage: Bacteria
Description: partial 16S ribosomal RNA
Rfam family: Bacterial small subunit ribosomal RNA
Source: RNAcentral